Molecule: transfer RNA, 65 nt
Filed under: Quercophylus gonoporospinus
Lineage: Eukaryota; Metazoa; Arthropoda; Insecta; Hemiptera; Miridae
Description: tRNA-Pro
Source: RNAcentral
CAGUAAGUAGUUUAAUUUAAAAUAUUAAUUUUGGAGAUUAAUGAUGAGCUUUACCUUUUUACUGA